Molecule: ribosomal RNA, 465 nt
Filed under: uncultured bacterium
Lineage: Bacteria
Description: partial 16S ribosomal RNA
Rfam family: Bacterial small subunit ribosomal RNA
Source: RNAcentral
GACGAACGCUGGCGGCGUGCUUAACACAUGCAAGUCGAACGGAAAGGCCCUGCUUGCAGGGUACUCGAGUGGCGAACGGGUGAGUAACACGUGGGUGAUCUGCCCUGCACUUCGGGAUAAGCCUGGGAAACUGGGUCUAAUACCGGAUAGGAGCCAUUUUUAGUGUGAUGGUUGGAAAGUUUUUUCGGUGUAGGAUGAGCUCGUGGCCUAUCAGCUUGUUGGUGGGGUAAUGGCCUACCAAGGCGGCGACGGGUAGCCGGCCUGAGAGGGUGGACGGCCACAUUGGGACUGAGAUACGGCCCAGACGCCUACGGGAGGCAGCAGUGGGGAAUAUUGCACAAUGGGCGCAAGCCUGAUGCAGCGACGCCGCGUGGGGGAUGACGGCCUUCGGGUUGUAAACUCCUUUCGCUAGGGACGAAGCUUUUUGUGACGGUACCUAGAUAAGAAGCACCGGCUAACUACGUG